RNAcentral lists this ribosomal RNA (633 nucleotides) under Onukindia connexa. RNAcentral describes it as "partial 28S ribosomal RNA". It matches the Rfam family "Eukaryotic large subunit ribosomal RNA", at positions 2335 to 2829 of the family's 3401-position model. The record is from RNAcentral. Lineage: Eukaryota; Metazoa; Arthropoda; Insecta; Hemiptera; Cicadellidae.
CUCGCUGUCCCUAUCUACUAUCUAGCGAAACCACUGCCAAGGGAACGGGCUUGGAAAAAUCAGCGGGGAAAGAAGACCCUGUUGAGCUUGACUCUAGUCUGGCACUGUAAGGAGACAUGAGAGGUGUAGCAUAAGUGGGAGACGGUAUCCAUCCCGUCGCCGGUGAAAUACCACUACUUUCAUCGUUUCUUUACUUACUUGGUUAGGCGGAGGGCGUUCGUCGAGGGUACACACCCCGGCGGUACGGUCUUCUCGCGCCAAGCGUUCAAGGGUUGCCGGCGGACAGAAGUGCGGGUCGACGUCGGUGAGUCGUGUAACCUGGCUUGCCAGGCCACGGCCCGGCGACGGCUUUAGCACGCUCUGAACCCGACCGGCAAACACUCCCUAGCGUGAUCCGAUCCGAGGACACUGCCAGGCGGGGAGUUUGACUGGGGCGGUACAUCUGUCAAAGAAUAACGCAGGUGUCCUAAGGCCAGCUCAGCGAGGACAGAAACCUCGCGUAGAGCAAAAGGGCAAAUGCUGGCUUGAUCCCGAUGUUCAGUACGCAUAGGGACUGCGAAAGCACGGCCUAUCGAUCCUUUUGGCUUGAAGAGUUUUCAGCAAGAGGUGUCAGAAAAGUUACCACAGGGAUAA